UGUGGCCAAGCUCCUAAGGGCGUACGGUGGAUGUCUUGGCGUCGAGAGGCGAUGAAGGGCGUGGAAGACUGCGAUAAGCCCGGGGGAGCUGUCAAACAAGCGAUGAUCCCGGGAUCCCCGAAUGAUCACACGCUGAACCCAUAGGCGUGUGAGGCGAUACCCGGCGAACUGAAACAUCUUAGUAGCCGGAGGAAAAGAAAGAAAACUCGAUUCCCUAAGUAGCGGCGAGCGAAAGGGGAACAGCCCAAACCGUGGGGAUUUUCCCUGCGGGGUUGUAGGGCCUCCACAUGGGUGAUGUGAACGGCUAGCUGAACCAUCCUGGAAAGGUGGACCACAGAGGGUGACAGUCCCGUAAGCGAAAGCUGGCUCACAGCCCGGAGGUACCUGAGUAGGUCGGGGCACGUGGAACCCCGACUGAAGCUACGGGGACCAUCCCGUAAGGCUAAAUACUCCUCGACGACCGAUAGUGGACCAGUAGGGCGACCGAAAGAUGAAAAGAACCCCCGUGAGGGGAGUGAAAGGAGACCCUGAAACCGUAUGCCUACAAGCGGUCGGAGCACCGAUUUCCUACCCCGCAAGGGGUGAGGUGGGUGUGACGGCGUGCCUUUUGCAUAAUGAUCCGGCGAGUUACUGUCGGCGGCUUGGUUAAGGCCUUCCGGGCGGAAGCCGUAGGGAAACCGAGUCUGAAUAGGGCGUUUUGUCGCCGGCAGUAGACGCGAAACUGCGUGACCUACCCAUGGGCAGGGUGAAGCGCGGGUUACACCGCGUGGAGGCCCGAACCCACUUGGGUUGAAAACCGAGGGGAUGACCUGUGGGGAGGAGUGAAAGUCUAAUCAAACGCAGAGAUAGCUCGUUCUCUCCGAAAUAGCUUUAGGGCUAGCCUCGAGACACUACGCACCGGGGGUAGAGAGACUGAAUUGGCAUGGGGGCCUUCGCCGGCUGCCCAGCCGAACCAAACUCCGAAUACCGGCGCGACUAUCUCGGGAGUCAGUCCCUGGGGGAUAAGCUCCAGGGUCGAGAGGGAAACAACCCGGACCACCAGCUAAGGUCCCUAAGUAAGGCUCAGUCACAAAGGAAGUGGGGUUGCUGAGACAGCCAGGAUGUUGGCUUAGAAGCAGCCACCAUUUAAAAAGUGCGUAAAAGCUUACUGGUCGAGCAACCCUGCGCCGAAAAUGAACGGGAGUAAGCCUUACACCGAAGCUGUGGGCUACGCUACGCGUAGCGGUAGGAGAGCGCUGUAGAGCAGAUACAGGCCGCUUCGUGAGGAGCGGUGGCGGGCUCUACAGGUGAUUAUGCCGGAAUGAGUAACGAUAAAGCAGGUGAGAAUCCUGCUCGCCGAAAGCCUAAGGUUUCCUGGGGAAGGUAAUUCCGCCCAGGGUUAGCCGGUACCUUAGUCGAGGCCGAAAGGCGUAGACGAUGGACAGCAGGUCAACAUUCCUGCGCCACUGAGGAGGACUGAUGGAGGGACGGCGUCCGUAGGGUGAUCGGACGGCUAGAAAUGUCCGUGGACCGUUCUGAGGUGGGGGUAGGCAAAUCCGCCCCCGCAAGCCGAGGGACGGGACCGACCGCGUUUUGUUCGGGAAGUCAUCCGAAAGACGCCCGAGAAAAGCUCCUAAAGGUUGAAUCCUCAGUGACCGUACUAAAACCGACACAGGUAGGCGAGACGAGUAGUCUCAGGCGCUCGGGAGAACGCUGGUUAAGGAACUCUGCAAAAUGGCCCCGUAACUUCGGGAGAAGGGGUGCCCUCGGAGGUGAUGAGCUUCUGGGGGUCUCAGUAAAUCGGCUCUGGCGACUGUUUAUCAAAAACACAGGACUCUGCUCAACUCGUAAGAGGAUGUAUAGAGUCUGACGCCUGCCCGGUGCCGGUAGGUUAAGGAAGCGGGUUAGCCGCAAGGCGAAGCUCGCAACCGAAGCCCCGGUAAACGGCGGCCGUAACUAUGACGGUCCUAAGGUAGCGAAGUUCCUUGGCGGGUAAGUUCCGUCCUGCAUGAAUGGCGUAACGACCGGAGCACUGUCUCAACCAGCGACCCGGUGAAAUUGUAGCUGUGGUGAAGAUGCCACAUACCCGCGGCUAGACGGAAAGACCCCGUGAACCUUUACUGUAGGCUGGUAUUGGGCUGUGGUGUAUCUUGUGUAGGAUAGGUGGGAGGCUGUGAAGCCGGGACGCCAGUUCCGGUGGAGCCGCCCUUGAAAUACCACCCUGGAUACACUUUAGUUCUAACUCCGAUUCCCGUAAACCGGGCGGAGGACAGUGCCAGCUGGGCAGUUUGACUGGGGCGGUCUCCUCCUAAAGAGUAACGGAGGAGUCCAAAGGUACCCUCAGCCUGGUCGGCAAUCAGGCGUUGAGCGCAAAGGUAGACAGGGUGCUUAACUGCGAGACCGAUGGGUCGAGCAGAUACGAAAGUAGGGCUUAGUGAUCCGGUGGUCCCGGAUGGAAGGGCCAUCGCUCAACAGACAAAAGGUACUCCGGGGAUAACAGGCUUAUCGCGCCCGAGCGUCCAUAGCGGCGGCGCGGUUUGGCACCUCGAUGUCGGCUCAUCGCAUCCUGGGGGUG
RNAcentral lists this ribosomal RNA (2554 nucleotides) under Planctomycetota bacterium. Its description in RNAcentral is "Planctomycetes bacterium (hot springs metagenome) partial 23S ribosomal RNA". It matches the Rfam family "Bacterial large subunit ribosomal RNA", at positions 1 to 2555 of the family's 2925-position model. Lineage: Bacteria; Pseudomonadati; Planctomycetota. The record is from RNAcentral.